Molecule: unclassified non-coding RNA, 266 nt
Filed under: Hevea brasiliensis (rubber tree)
Lineage: Eukaryota; Viridiplantae; Streptophyta; Magnoliopsida; Malpighiales; Euphorbiaceae
Source: RNAcentral
GUUUAACACAGUACCAUGGAAAGCAACUUCAAUUUUCUUUUCUUCUUUCCUUUGCCUUUGGCCACCAACACAAGGCAAAGCUACAUUGCAAAGACGACUUUGAAGGGUACUCAAGGUUCAAGAAUUAUGGUGGUCUAGUCGCAAGCUAGACUCCUCCUCCCUUUCCUUUGUAAACCAAAAACAGCCAAGGGAAAUUCACCCCACAGGCCACAGGCAUCCUCGAGGAGCAAAUGAAUGACUUAUGGAAGAUACGAGAGCUGGUCUUU